Molecule: ribosomal RNA, 2290 nt
Filed under: Escherichia coli
Lineage: Bacteria; Pseudomonadati; Pseudomonadota; Gammaproteobacteria; Enterobacterales; Enterobacteriaceae
Description: partial 23S ribosomal RNA
Rfam family: Bacterial large subunit ribosomal RNA
Source: RNAcentral
UUAACCGAAUAGGGGAGCCGAAGGGAAACCGAGUCUUAACUGGGCGUUAAGUUGCAGGGUAUAGACCCGAAACCCGGUGAUCUAGCCAUGGGCAGGUUGAAGGUUGGGUAACACUAACUGGAGGACCGAACCGACUAAUGUUGAAAAAUUAGCGGAUGACUUGUGGCUGGGGGUGAAAGGCCAAUCAAACCGGGAGAUAGCUGGUUCUCCCCGAAAGCUAUUUAGGUAGCGCCUCGUGAAUUCAUCUCCGGGGGUAGAGCACUGUUUCGGCAAGGGGGUCAUCCCGACUUACCAACCCGAUGCAAACUGCGAAUACCGGAGAAUGUUAUCACGGGAGACACACGGCGGGUGCUAACGUCCGUCGUGAAGAGGGAAACAACCCAGACCGCCAGCUAAGGUCCCAAAGUCAUGGUUAAGUGGGAAACGAUGUGGGAAGGCCCAGACAGCCAGGAUGUUGGCUUAGAAGCAGCCAUCAUUUAAAGAAAGCGUAAUAGCUCACUGGUCGAGUCGGCCUGCGCGGAAGAUGUAACGGGGCUAAACCAUGCACCGAAGCUGCGGCAGCGACGCUGAUGCGUUGUUGGGUAGGGGAGCGUUCUGUAAGCCUGCGAAGGUGUGCUGUGAGGCAUGCUGGAGGUAUCAGAAGUGCGAAUGCUGACAUAAGUAACGAUAAAGCGGGUGAAAAGCCCGCUCGCCGGAAGACCAAGGGUUCCUGUCCAACGUUAAUCGGGGCAGGGUGAGUCGACCCCUAAGGCGAGGCCGAAAGGCGUAGUCGAUGGGAAACAGGUUAAUAUUCCUGUACUUGGUGUUACUGCGAAGAGGGGACGGAGAAGGCUAUGUUGGCCGGGCGACGGUUGUCCCGGUUUAAGCGUGUAGGCUGGUUUUCCAGGCAAAUCCGGAAAAUCAAGGCUGAGGCGUGAUGACGAGGCACUGCGGUGCUGAAGCAACAAAUGCCCUGCUUCCAGGAAAAGCCUCUAAGCAUCAGGUAACAUCAAAUCGUACCCCAAACCGACACAGGUGGUCAGGUAGAGAAUACCAAGGCGCUUGAGAGAACUCGGGUGAAGGAACUAGGCAAAAUGGUGCCGUAACUUCGGGAGAAGGCACGCUGAUAUGUAGGUGAAGUCCCUCGCGGAUGGAGCUGAAAUCAGUCGAAGAUACCAGCUGGCUGCAACUGUUUAUUAAAAACACAGCACUGUGCAAACACGAAAGUGGACGUAUACGGUGUGACGCCUGCCCGGUGCCGGAAGGUUAAUUGAUGGGGUUAGCGCAAGCGAAGCUCUUGAUCGAAGCCCCGGUAAACGGCGGCCGUAACUAUAACGGUCCUAAGGUAGCGAAAUUCCUUGUCGGGUAAGUUCCGACCUGCACGAAUGGCGUAAUGAUGGCCAGGCUGUCUCCACCCGAGACUCAGUGAAAUUGAACUCGCUGUGAAGAUGCAGUGUACCCGCGGCAAGACGGAAAGACCCCGUGAACCUUUACUAUAGCUUGACACUGAACAUUGAGCCUUGAUGUGUAGGAUAGGUGGGAGGCUUUGAAGUGUGGACGCCAGUCUGCAUGGAGCCGACCUUGAAAUACCACCCUUUAAUGUUUGAUGUUCUAACGUUGACCCGUAAUCCGGGUUGCGGACAGUGUCUGGUGGGUAGUUUGACUGGGGCGGUCUCCUCCUAAAGAGUAACGGAGGAGCACGAAGGUUGGCUAAUCCUGGUCGGACAUCAGGAGGUUAGUGCAAUGGCAUAAGCCAGCUUGACUGCGAGCGUGACGGCGCGAGCAGGUGCGAAAGCAGGUCAUAGUGAUCCGGUGGUUCUGAAUGGAAGGGCCAUCGCUCAACGGAUAAAAGGUACUCCGGGGAUAACAGGCUGAUACCGCCCAAGAGUUCAUAUCGACGGCGGUGUUUGGCACCUCGAUGUCGGCUCAUCACAUCCUGGGGCUGAAGUAGGUCCCAAGGGUAUGGCUGUUCGCCAUUUAAAGUGGUACGCGAGCUGGGUUUAGAACGUCGUGAGACAGUUCGGUCCCUAUCUGCCGUGGGCGCUGGAGAACUGAGGGGGGCUGCUCCUAGUACGAGAGGACCGGAGUGGACGCAUCACUGGUGUUCGGGUUGUCAUGCCAAUGGCACUGCCCGGUAGCUAAAUGCGGAAGAGAUAAGUGCUGAAAGCAUCUAAGCACGAAACUUGCCCCGAGAUGAGUUCUCCCUGACUCCUUGAGAGUCCUGAAGGAACGUUGAAGACGACGACGUUGAUAGGCCGGGUGUGUAAGCGCAGCGAUGCGUUGAGCUAACCGGUACUAAUGAACCGUGAGG